Molecule: ribosomal RNA, 433 nt
Filed under: uncultured bacterium
Lineage: Bacteria
Description: bacterial SSU rRNA
Rfam family: Bacterial small subunit ribosomal RNA
Source: RNAcentral
GACGAACGCUGGCGGCGCGCCUAACACAUGCAAGUCGAACGAGAGAAGAAGAGCUUGCUUUUCUGAUCGAGUGGCGAACGGGCGAGUAACGCGUGAGGAACCUGCCUCAAAGAGGGGGACAACAGUUGGAAACGACUGCUAAUACCGCAUAAGCCCACGGCUCGGCAUCGAGCAGAGGGAAAAGGAGCAAUCCGCUUUGAGAUGGCCUCGCGUCCGAUUAGCUAGUUGGUGAGGUAAUGGCCCACCAAGGCGACGAUCGGUAGCCGGACUGAGAGGUUGAACGGCCACAUUGGGACUGAGACACGGCCCAGACUCCUACGGGAGGCAGCAGUGGGGAAUAUUGCACAAUGGGGGAAACCCUGAUGCAGCGACGCCGCGUGGAGGAAGAAGGUCUUCGGAUUGUAAACUCCUGUUGUUGAGGAAGAUAAUGACG